UUUUGGUUGAAGCUACUCGCCGUCGACUUCUGUAACA
Molecule: small RNA, 37 nt
Filed under: Arabidopsis thaliana (thale cress)
Lineage: Eukaryota; Viridiplantae; Streptophyta; Magnoliopsida; Brassicales; Brassicaceae
Description: ATSL019230
Source: RNAcentral